GCCCUCUCAGGAUCACACCUGGAGAGUUUUCAGUACUCUACCAGGCUCGGCUAUGAGAGGGAGAGUCGAUCAGAGGCAUACUCAUUCCAUUCCUAGCUUGGGCAAUGGCUAGCGAGUGGAAGGCAAUCUGCUACAAGU
This is a non-coding RNA of Ornithorhynchus anatinus (platypus), 138 nucleotides long. Lineage: Eukaryota; Metazoa; Chordata; Mammalia; Monotremata; Ornithorhynchidae. The record is from Rfam.